RNAcentral lists this ribosomal RNA (819 nucleotides) under Madagasikara spinosa. RNAcentral's name for it is "partial 16S ribosomal RNA". It matches the Rfam family "Archaeal large subunit ribosomal RNA", at positions 1470 to 2633 of the family's 2987-position model. The record is from RNAcentral. Lineage: Eukaryota; Metazoa; Mollusca; Gastropoda; Pachychilidae.
AGCUCGUUUUACAUUUUACCUCACUAAGGAUAAGCUUAGUAAGGCCAUUAAAUAGAGAGUAUUUUGUCUAAACUAGUUACAUAGGCUUGAAAUUAGCCAUUGCUCUAGAACUUGUUAUAAAAUAACUUUAAUAUUUAGAAAAAUAAUUAUACUUAAUUCUACUUAAAACGGGGAUAAGCACGAAAAACUAUUGAUCUGGUCUAUUUAUGCUAGAAUGAGUAUUAAACAUGCCUAAUUUAACAGGUUAAAUCAAAAUAAAUAUACCUGUACUAAUAAAUAUAGAUUUUUUUAUUAAAAAAUAAAAAUAAGGAACUCGGCAAACUUUAGCUCCGCCUGUUUAUCAAAAACAUGGCUCUUUGAAUCUUUAAUAUAAAGAGUCGAACCUGCCCAGUGAAAUUUUAACGGCCGCGGUACUCUGACCGUGCAAAGGUAGCAUAAUCAUUUGCCUUAUAAUUGAAGGCUCGUAUGAAUGGUUUGACGGGAGCACUACUGUCUCUUUUUUACUAAGUAGAACUUGACUUUUAGGUGAAGAGGCCUAAAUACAAUUGAUAGACAAGAAGACCCUGUCGAGCUUAAAAAAGAAUUAGAAGCAAACUAUAGUAUUUAAAUUAACUACUAAUUAACCUUUUUUGGUUGGGGCGACCAAGGAACAGAUAAAGCUUCCUUUUUCUAAUUGACUAAUAAGUAAUGAUCCAGUAAACUGAUUAAAAGAAUUAGUUACCGCAGGGAUAACAGCAUAAUCUCUCCUAAGAGACCUAAUCGAAGGAGGGGGUUGUGACCUCGAUGUUGGACUAGAGUAUCCUAAAGAUGCAGAAAUCU